RNAcentral lists this ribosomal RNA (493 nucleotides) under uncultured bacterium. RNAcentral's name for it is "partial 16S ribosomal RNA". It matches the Rfam family "Bacterial small subunit ribosomal RNA", at positions 30 to 523 of the family's 1533-position model. The record is from RNAcentral.
AUUGAACGCUGGCGGCAUGCCUUACACAUGCAAGUCGAACAGUAACAGGUUAAGCUGACGAGUGGCGAACGGGUGAGUAAUAUAUCGGAACGUGCCCAGUCGUGGGGGAUAACUGCUCGAAAGAGCAGCCAAUACCGCAUACGACCUGAGGGUGAAAGCGGGGGAUCGCAAGACCUCGCGCGAUUGGAGCGGCCGAUAUCAGAUUAGCUAGUUGGUGGGGUAAAAGCCUACCAAGGCAACGAUCUGUAGCUGGUCUGAGAGGACGACCAGCCACACUGGGACUGAGACACGGCCCAGACUCCUACGGGAGGCAGCAGUGGGGAAUUUUGGACAAUGGACGAAAGUCUGAUCCAGCCAUGCCGCGUGCGGGAAGAAGGCCUUCGGGUUGUAAACCGCUUUUGUCAGGGAAGAAAAGGUUCUGGUUAAUACCUGGGACUCAUGACGGUACCUGAAGAAUAAGCACCGGCUAACUACGUGCCAGCAGCCGCCGUAA